RNAcentral lists this long non-coding RNA (1316 nucleotides) under Oryctolagus cuniculus (rabbit). Its description in RNAcentral is "lncRNA (ENSOCUG00000033334.1)". The record is from RNAcentral. Lineage: Eukaryota; Metazoa; Chordata; Mammalia; Lagomorpha; Leporidae.
UGCCUCCCAGUGCCGGGUGCUGGCCUGCAGCCUUCCGGGAGGGAGUAGGAGACAGUGACUUUGUGGGGAGGUGACACUUGAGCUGGGCCUGUAUUUUGGGUUAGUUCUGGACGCACAUCCCAGUGCACCUGGAUCUUCGGGUCUGCUGCAGGCCUCCUGGAGGCUCUGGGAGCCGGGCAUCCUGGUGGCAAGGGCAGGAGGGUGGAAGGUCGAGGUGCUGAGCUCCCACUGGGUGCACCAGGCACUUUGUAGCUGUUCAGAGUAAGGAGUUGAGGUCACCUCCUGAACCACUCCUGGUCCGAAACUCCUGAUUUGGGAUUUGCCAAAACCCAGAAUUAGGGGUGUGGUGGGGGGUGGUAGUGGUUGGCUUCAAUGCACUGUAUUUGUGAAUUCUUCAAACACAGCUUCUCCCUACUCCUGCAGGCUUUCAGGUGAUUUUCCAGGACAGAGUCCCUCAGCUGUAAAGAGACUGAAGUUUGGAAACUACAUCCAGAACUUCACAGUGUGUAUUCAGGUGGUCAUCCUUCAGGCCUGCAGGUGGACAGCAAGAGCAACAGUGAUGUUUCCUGAAUUUUAUGUUUCCAGAAACAUGGAGGUAGCUCCUGUUAUUUUAACUUUAAAGAAAAUGCAACUGAGGCAUGAAGAGGUAAGUAACUGGUUUGCCCAAGGAUAUAUAAUCAUGAAGUGGCAAAGCCUUAGACUUGGCAUGAUCUGAAUGGCAGCCAUUUUUUUUUCACAAAUUCAAUGUUUGAUCUAUUUCAUAUAUUCACUAAAAGGAUUUACUAUCAAAUGAUACUUUCUGAUAAAACCUAUGAAAACUGCAGAUGAGUAUUGCUCCAAAGCAAAUACUUGAGGCUAGCAUUACGUGUAGCAGGUAAAGCCAUUGUCUUUAAAUUUAGCAAAGAUAUGCCUUGUUAGAUGAGUGUACUUUGUGUAAUUCUUCUUGUCAGUGUAUACACUUUAGAAAUUGAUUACAGGGGCCAGUGCUGUGGCACAGCAUGUUAAAACCCCAACCUAGGGUGCCAGCAUCCCAUAUGGGUGCUGGUUUGAGUUCCAGUUGCUCCACUUCUGAUCUGGCUCCUUGCUAAUGCACCUGGGAAAGCAUCAGAGGAUGGCUCAAGUCCUUGGGCCCCUGCACCCAUGUGGGAGACCUGAGAAAAGCUCCUGGCUCCGGGCUUCAGAUCAGCUCAGCUCCGGCUUUUGCAGCCAAUUGAGAAGUGAACCAGCAGAUUGAAGACUUUUCUCUCUGUCUCUACUUCUCUAUGUAACUCUGUCUUUCAAAUAAAUAAAAAUAAAUCUAGAAAAAAAGAAAUUGA